UACGAAGGGGGCUAGCGUUGCUCGGAAUGACUGGGCGUAAAGGGCGCGUAGGCGGCUUGUAUAGUCAGAUGUGAAAUUCCUGGGCUCAACCUGGGGGCUGCAUUUGAUACGUAUGGGCUUGAGUGGGGAAGAGGGUCGUGGAAUUCCCAGUGUAGAGGUGAAAUUCGUAGAUAUUGGGAAGAACACCGGUGGCGAAGGCGGCAUCCUGGACCAAUUCUGACGCUGAGUGAGCGAAAGCCAGGGGAGCAAACGGG
RNAcentral lists this ribosomal RNA (254 nucleotides) under uncultured bacterium. Its description in RNAcentral is "partial 16S ribosomal RNA". It matches the Rfam family "Bacterial small subunit ribosomal RNA", at positions 524 to 776 of the family's 1533-position model. The record is from RNAcentral.